Molecule: non-coding RNA, 1843 nt
Organism: Cucurbita pepo subsp. pepo (vegetable marrow)
Lineage: Eukaryota; Viridiplantae; Streptophyta; Magnoliopsida; Cucurbitales; Cucurbitaceae
Source: RefSeq, a predicted model, not a curated record
GUAUCAACAAGAGAGCGGGACGUCCAAACGCAACCCUCGAUUGAAUCCCGCCUUCGCAACCUCUUCUGUCACUCUCCAAUGACCAAUUUUCUGUUCAAAGUUCCUCUGCGUCUCUUUGCUCAAGAUCUCCAGAAGUUUGCAGGGAACGACACCACAAUUUCCCGCAAAUUCCUCUCUUCUCUGUCUGAAAUCUCUGAAUCAACCAACAAUCGGACGGUCGACUACCUUGUUCAUACCCUUGGAUUCUCCAAGGACUCAGCUCUCGCCGCUGCGAAGCGAAUCCAUCUCAAAACUACUGCAAAUCCCGACUCUGUCAUUGCUCUCUUCAAGGCCUAUGGAUUCACACUGUCCGAUACUGCCAGCAUCUUUUGCAGAAAUCCUAAUCUCCUCCUUGCUGAUCCGGACACAACACUCAAACCUAAGUUUGAGUUUCUCUCUCGAAAUGGUUUCACCGGUCAUGUUCUCGUCGACGUGAUCUCUAGGGACCCUUCAAUUCUUAGAAGGAGUUUGAAGAAGCAGAUUGUUCCGUGUAUUGAUCUUCUCAGAAUUUUUUUUGGCUCUACUGAUGGUAUAGUCUCGCUCUUUUCUGCUAGAGGUGGGACUUGGGUUUUGCGAAACUUUUCAGAAUCUGUGGCUCCCAAUAUCGAACUAUUGAGAGCUAAUGGCGUGCCCGAUUCGAACAUCGCGAAAAUGAUUUGGCUGCGCCCGAGGACACUAGCAAGGGAUGCGGAAGAGUUCAGUGACAUCGUCGAGAAGACGAAGGAAGCUGGUUUUAAUCCUUCGAGCUCGAUGUUUAUUGAUGGGCUGUGUACGUUUUUAGGGAUGAAAAAGGACAAAUGGUUAUCGAAACUGCAUAUUUUUACAAGUUUUGGGUGGUCAGAGGAGCAGUUUCAAUCUCUAUUUCGCAAGCAGCCCAAGAUUAUGAAUUCGUCUGAAGAGCAAAUAAAGAGGGCCUUGGAUUUCUUUAUGAACAAAUUGGACUGGACGCACGAAGAAAUUUGCAAGUACCCAAAUGUACUUCAUCUUAGUUUUGAAAAAAGGGUGGUUCCGAGGUCGUCUAUUCUUCAGCACCUGAUAUCAAAAGGUUUUAUCAAGAAGACAAGUUUUGGCAGGGCAUUUUUUAUUACCGAGGAUAAGUUUUUGGUCAAGUUUGUGAUGCAGUAUCUUUCUGAGGACCCACAUCUACUUGAGAUGUACCAGAAGAAGAUGGCAGUUUUAUAAACGCUUGGAGUGCAAUUUAGAUUCUCGUAAUGCGACCCAAAACUUCAGAUUAGCAUUUUUCUUCUUCCUCGGUGGUCUAAGGUGUUAUUCAUCCAAGAACAUGAACUUCCUGUUAGCAAUGAUAAUUGAUCGUUGGAUUUAAAGAGCCAUUGGACCAAAUCGACUCGCUGUACCAAACCGCUCUACCAGAACUGACCAGACCCGACCCAAUUAGCAGAUUUGGAUCCACUACCCAAAUCCAGACUCGAAGUUUUGAUAUAUUUUCUCAAUGUAGGACCUAAUUGUAGAUCUUUGAACGAAUUGGAAAUUUGUUGAAGACCCGAAACAAUCUCGGGAAGUCUACAACAAGUAGACCAAUGUCGGUGGCGGGAACGUGUGGAGCCGUGCGGCUAUAGUGGAGACCCUAAGAUCGAGUCCUCUUUGUCCAUGUCGUUUUAAUGUCAUUUUGAUGUUUAUUUAGGGAAAACUUGUGCUAUUUUGUAACUGAUUUUCUUUUGAUGUGUUUCCUCGAAUCCCGUUAUGUUUUGGAACUAUUUGGAUUUUAAUGCUUAUCAGAUAACUUUAAUUUUAUUGUGUCUCCCGUUUUAUCAAAUGAAAAUGUUGCAAGACUUUUUAUCCUAAA